Molecule: long non-coding RNA, 1301 nt
Filed under: Marmota monax (woodchuck)
Lineage: Eukaryota; Metazoa; Chordata; Mammalia; Rodentia; Sciuridae
Source: RNAcentral
CUCUUAUAUAUAUACAUAUAUCCAUCUCAUAUAUACAUAUAUGUACAUAUUUUACAUAUAUAUGGUAGUCAUGGCAUAAAGGAAGAAUGAAAAUAAACUUCCUUGAAAGUUGAAUAAUACAUAUAUCUCAAUGAACAAGAAAGGCAAUAAUGCUCACAAUGUACCCAUGAUAGCACAUACAAAAUCUGUGGUUUCUUGGCAAUUGGAAAAUAAUAAAAUUUAAAAUGACUCAUAUACAAAGGUGAUAUUGAAAAAAAGUACCAUUAUUUUUAAUAUGACCCUUCCUUAGAGUUUAGAGAAUUAUAAAAUUCCAGAAAAAUAUAUGUGGAAAUGAUCUAUAAUUUUAAACUUUGUGGGCAUGGUAUAAAAGUAGGUAGUACCAAAUAAAGGAUGAAAGCAUGUUGACAAAAGGAACUAUAAUUUUAGGCAGUGUACUGGCAGCAUGCUUUAUAAAGUUCUGCCACAGAAUAGCAAUAAAGCACAGUGGUAGAUGGAAUAAAGAAAUGGGAGGAAUGGAUAAUUAAUGACUACUUGUAACAGUUAUUACUCUCCAAGAUAUGAUAAAGAAGAGCAACCAAAUCCAAUGCUGCAGGACAGAGGUGAUUGGUUAAUGGAGUCAGGAAGAGGUGUCAAACUAGUUGGCAUAGCUUCAUUUAGUUGCACAAGUUCCCACUUUGUGCUCCUUCCAUAGCACUAGUCUUAUCUACGGCUCUCAGCAGAACUUGGACAGCUCAAUGUUCCACUGCUCUUUGGAACAUUCCAUGUUUAAAUUAUCUUCAUAAAUGCUUUGAAAAAAUAGCCAGUAAAUAUAAACAUGUUGGUGUUUCAGUUGAAUUAAUGAUCAUAUCUGUAUUUUGACUGGUGUUUUAAUUUCUAAUAUUAUUAAAAGAUUGAUCAUAUAUAACAUCUGACAUUUUAAAUUGUUAUAAUGGACUAGGUUUUAAACACUGAACUAUAGUUUUGCCCGGUAAAAGGCACAGGUGUUCUGACAAGAAAUAAUAGCAAAUAAGAAGUGGUAUUUUUAUUUUGUCAAAUAGUAUGCAUGCAUAUAGUGCAAUCUAGGGUCCAGAACACAAGGAUGAUUUAAUGGCAAUCAAAUUUUAGUAGAAUUUCUUUUAUUUUAACAUCUUCCUUUUAGACUGGAAUAUGGUAUCUUAAAGAAGAUCAGACAAAUUACUCAUUCUGGGAACAAAGACUUUUGAAAGCUGUCAGCUUACUGACAGUUAUGAUGAACAUUUAUUUCAGGCUUAUAAAACAUAUUAAUCAAACUUGUUCACAGCAUGAUGGUCCAAAGAGUGUUA